This 255-nucleotide ribosomal RNA is filed under the name Klebsiella pneumoniae. Its description in RNAcentral is "partial 16S ribosomal RNA". It matches the Rfam family "Bacterial small subunit ribosomal RNA", at positions 54 to 307 of the family's 1533-position model. Lineage: Bacteria; Pseudomonadati; Pseudomonadota; Gammaproteobacteria; Enterobacterales; Enterobacteriaceae. The record is from RNAcentral.
CAUGCAAGUCGAGCGGUAGCACAGAGAGCUUGCUCUCGGGUGACGAGCGGCGGACGGGUGAGUAAUGUCUGGGAAACUGCCUGAUGGAGGGGGAUAACUACUGGAAACGGUAGCUAAUACCGCAUAAUGUCGCAAGACCAAAGUGGGGGACCUUCGGGCCUCAUGCCAUCAGAUGUGCCCAGAUGGGAUUAGCUAGUAGGUGGGGUAACGGCUCACCUAGGCGACGAUCCCUAGCUGGUUUGAGAGGAUGACCAG